Molecule: long non-coding RNA, 1261 nt
Filed under: Sinocyclocheilus anshuiensis
Lineage: Eukaryota; Metazoa; Chordata; Actinopteri; Cypriniformes; Cyprinidae
Description: lncRNA (ENSSANG00000032293.1)
Source: RNAcentral
AUUUUCUAGAUUUGUUGUACCACAGAAUGAGUCACCUGAACUACUGAACAAAAGAAAGAGAUUUAUUCUGAAUUUACAUUUGCAAACUGCUCUCCACCGUAAAGAGACACUGCAAUCAUCUAUGAAGAUCCUGCUGUCAUUUGUGAAUUAUGAGAAAUCUGAUUUCCUGCUGGAUCUGUACUCCUAUGUGAAGGACUAUGAGAGUCAAACAGGCAGGAGUGUCUUUCCAGCAUUACAGCCAAUUUAUCAGUCAGCUCCUGCAGUCUGGAGAAUAAAGCUCUCAGAGAGAAAGAGCUCCAUCCUCCUAGAAGUGCUGAAACUCCAAACAGAGAAGAAACCAGUAGAGCUGAUAGACUGGACAGAUGAAGAGAGUGAAGUGAAGGGAUUCCUCCAGUGUCUGCCCCACAUCUCACAGCUGAGGAAUGCUGAGCAGUACUUCCCAUCACUAUGUAAAGUGUCCAGUGUCAAGGCAGAUCAGGUGACUCCUCUGCUCCAGGCUUUGAAUUUCACCAUCACUCUGAGUGGAAAAUUACCCAGCAGCACCUGCAGAUCUGUGGGGAGAGUUCUGGGCCUUUCACCCUCAAAAUUAAACCUGACUCUAAAGCCACAAGCCAUCUCUGUCAGAGAACUCAAACUGCUCUUCAAACACAUCAAACACCUGCAGAAGCUGAGUGUGGAAGGCAAAAUGUUAUUGAAGAUGGUCAGAGCACUGAGGUCAUUGAAUGGUUCUUUUACACUGACCACAGAGGAGCUUUCACUGGUCACAAAAGACUCUGAGCAAAAUCUCUCUCAUAUUCUGAGCAGCUUGACGUCUCUUCUGAGUCUGUUGUCUGUCCAGUGUUUGGAUCUUACUGAAUGUAAAUUAGAGGCUCUGUCUCUCACGACCCUGUUGGGUCUCCAGAAACCCCUGACUAUCAGGCUCUCUAAAGAGGUUCUUCAGCAGCUGGUUUCAGUGGUGUAUGAAGCACAGGAUGAUGGACUGGCACGCUCCUUCCUGGAGAAGGUGUCUAAUGAUCUGACUUCCUGCUCACUAAACUGGGAAGUGAUUCAUUACCUGCUGCAACAUCAAAUGCAAAAUAUCAAGUUGGACUUCAGCAAGAGCAAAAUACCUUGUGAAAACAUCAUAGAACUUUUGCCUUGGUUAGGCAGAAUCCAGUGGAAAAGGUUGAGCCCCAGCUUUAAUCUGUCCAUCAUUAUGGAGAUUUACGAGACUCGUUUCCCUCAGUAUGUGUCCAGUCUGAUGACUUCAGCAGGAAAUUAA